CUGGUCACCGGUCAUUAGUAUCUCCCCCUUACAAUGGCGACUGACAGGAAGGAAUCCAGCGAUGAAACUGUUCUGGCUUGGAAAGUCUUGGAAGAUGCUAUUAACGAUAGAAAAUAUGUACAGGAGAUGAUGACACUGGAAAUAUUGUCAUGCAAUUCUUUUGGGGGAAGCAAUUUUACAAACGCUUUCGUGACAACGCAACAAAAACUGAGUACAUUCAUAAAGCUUUCCCCUUCUGGAGAGAAAGCUUGCGGGUUAUACUUUCAACAUAUAUGGGACAUUCCAAAGCUUUCUACGUUAAUUCAAGAAAAACAACGAGAAGAUGAAGACAAUAUCCCAUCAACUAAACGACCUAACUUAUUAAGUGACGAGGAAAAGAAAGCUUAUGCAUGUUUGCAAUCUUAUUUAAAUGAUAUGAAUCUCCACCAGAAAAGACUUGAGAAAGUGUAAGGUGGUGCCACAACCUUUUCUGAGUCCGAUGUUGUGAGAGUUGUUGAUGCUCACUUAUUUGGACCUCUGAGUGAAGGAAACUGCUACAUUGAUAAUCACACGGAGACUGAUUCACAGAGUGUAUGCAGCUGUGGGUGUGGUAGACAACUAAGGACAGGUCCUACAGGGCUGGGAAUUGAAUUCACCUGGCAUGGGUAUGCUGACAUGUUUGUUCAGGGGACUGUGCCAGUGACAGUUUGGUUAGGACAGGAAGAGUCAGACCCCGACAGCUGGAUACUGGGUUCAGAAGAACAACAGCAUGAUUUGGAAAAUAACACACAAUCUGGUGAAAUGAAAAAAGACAAAGAUGCAUUUCAAAGUCAACUAAUUGCCCAAACAAUUACCAAUGCUUUUGCUCAGGUUAAUCAGAACGAGCACCUUGCAGGGCUACCUAUCCCGGCGUUUGGAUGUACUCCAACAAAAUUAAUAUUUUAUGCUUAUGACUGUGAAAAUGAUGUGCUUCUUAAGAAAAUAUUUGCAGUUGACUUUGUUCAAAAGCAGUCUUUUGCCAAAGCAGUUGUUUUGGUUUGGCUACAUUUGAAUUUCACAAUUUUUAUGAGAGAAGAUGUAACGAGUAUUGAAGAACAUCCAGAGCUUAAAAACUUUCAAGCCAAAUUUUGCAUCAAUGACACAAUCCGUUCAUGGUAUAAAAAUGUCGAAGUUGGUGCAAAUUUUACAGGAUUCCAACACUCAUCUAGAAAUGAAACUCAUGUAGAACUUAUCACUACAAGAGAAAUCAAAGUUGAUUAGUUGAAUUAUAAUCAUUUUGAAAUUAUGGUAGAAGGAAACUGCUGAAUUAGUGUGAAAUCCAACAUAAAACAGUCCGGAAAUGUUCAGGUGUUCUGUUGGAGGAAAAGUGAUUCCUGUUAAUUUGUAAGUCUGUAAAUGAUGUCAUAUGGUCAUCAAAUAUGGCAGCCAUAUGCAAUUUGAAAAACUUGCUAUUGCUACUACUCCUGAAUGACAGACAGGUCCUAGAGACAUGUGCAAUACAUGUUUUAUGCUAGUCAAAUCGACUUGUAGUUUUUACUGAGUGAAAAUGAGGACACAGGGUCAUUAAAUAUGGCCACAAUGGCAGCCAUCUUGAAAA
Long non-coding RNA from Mizuhopecten yessoensis (Yesso scallop), 1576 nucleotides. RefSeq lists it as uncharacterized. The transcript is spliced from 3 exons. The record is from RefSeq and is a predicted model, not a curated record. Lineage: Eukaryota; Metazoa; Mollusca; Bivalvia; Pectinida; Pectinidae.